RNAcentral lists this ribosomal RNA (242 nucleotides) under uncultured Latescibacterota bacterium. RNAcentral's name for it is "uncultured Latescibacteria bacterium partial 16S ribosomal RNA". It matches the Rfam family "Bacterial small subunit ribosomal RNA", at positions 1141 to 1382 of the family's 1533-position model. The record is from RNAcentral. Lineage: Bacteria; Pseudomonadati; Candidatus Latescibacterota.
CAACGGAGCUGCCGGUCAUAAACCGGAGGAAGGCGGGGAUGACGUCAAGUCCUCAUGGCCCUUACAUCCCGGGCUACACACGUGCUACAAUGGCAGGUACAGAGGGCUGCGAAGCCGCGAGGUGGAGCGAAUCCCAGAAAACCUGUCUCAGUCCGGAUUGAAGUCUGCAACUCGACUUCAUGAAGGCGGAAUCGCUAGUAACCGCGAAUCAGCAGGUCGCGGUGAAUACGUUCCCGGGCCUU